RNAcentral lists this ribosomal RNA (508 nucleotides) under uncultured bacterium. RNAcentral describes it as "bacterial SSU rRNA". It matches the Rfam family "Bacterial small subunit ribosomal RNA", at positions 1001 to 1509 of the family's 1533-position model. The record is from RNAcentral.
CAGAGAUGCUUUGGUGCCUUCGGGAACUCUGAGACAGGUGCUGCAUGGCUGUCGUCAGCUCGUGUUGUGAAAUGUUGGGUUAAGUCCCGCAACGAGCGCAACCCUUAUCCUUUGUUGCCAGCGGCUCGGCCGGGAACUCAAAGGAGACUGCCGGUGAUAAACCGGAGGAAGGUGGGGAUGACGUCAAGUCAUCAUGGCCCUUACGGCCAGGGCUACACACGUGCUACAAUGGCGCAUACAAAGAGAAGCGACCUCGCGAGAGCAAGCGGACCUCAUAAAGUGCGUCGUAGUCCGGAUUGGAGUCUGCAACUCGACUCCAUGAAGUCGGAAUCGCUAGUAAUCGUAGAUCAGAAUGCUACGGUGAAUACGUUCUCGGGCCUUGUACACACCGCCCGUCACACCAUGGGAGUGGGUUGCAAAAGAAGUAGGUAGCUUAACCUUCGGGAGGGCGCUUACCACUUUGUGAUUCAUGACUGGGGUGAAGUCGUAACAAGGUAGGCGUACUACA